RNAcentral lists this signal recognition particle RNA (98 nucleotides) under Candidatus Ornithospirochaeta stercorigallinarum. RNAcentral's name for it is "signal recognition particle sRNA small type". It matches the Rfam family "Bacterial small signal recognition particle RNA". Rfam says of the family: The signal recognition particle (SRP) is a universally conserved ribonucleoprotein involved in the co-translational targeting of proteins to membranes. Archaeal SRP consists of a 7S RNA and homologues of the eukaryotic SRP19 and SRP54 proteins. Lineage: Bacteria; Pseudomonadati; Spirochaetota; Spirochaetia; Spirochaetales; Spirochaetaceae. The record is from RNAcentral.
CGACAGAUCCCAAGCUACGUGUGCUGCCCAACCCCGUCAGGAUCGGAAGAUAGCAGCGGUAAGUGGAUUUCACGUGAGACUCGGACAAUUUGUCGCCU